RNAcentral lists this ribosomal RNA (732 nucleotides) under uncultured bacterium. Its description in RNAcentral is "bacterial SSU rRNA". It matches the Rfam family "Bacterial small subunit ribosomal RNA", at positions 28 to 776 of the family's 1533-position model. The record is from RNAcentral.
GAUGAACGCUGACAGAAUGCUUAACACAUGCAAGUCUACUUGAAGCUAACUUCGGUUAGUGGAGGGUGGCGGACGGGUGAGUAACGCGUAAAGAACUUGCCUCACAGAUUGGGACAACAUUUGGAAACGAAUGCUAAUACCGGAUAUUAUGAUACUUCCGCAUGGAAGAAUCAUGAAAGCUAUAUGCGCUGUGAGAGGGCUUUGCGUCCCAUUAGCUAGUUGGAGAGGUAACGGCUCACCAAGGCGAUGAUGGGUAGCCGGCCUGAGAGGGUGAACGGCCACAAGGGGACUGAGACACGGCCCUUACUCCUACGGGAGGCAGCAGUGGGGAAUAUUGGACAAUGGACCAAAAGUCUGAUCCAGCAAUUCUGUGUGCACGAUGAAGUUUUUCGGAAUGUAAAGUGCUUUCAGUUGGGAAGAAGCAAGUGACGGUACCAACAGAAGAAGCGACGGCUAAAUACGUGCCAGCAGCCGCGGUAAUACGUAUGUCGCAAGCGUUAUCCGGAUUUAUUGGGCGUAAAGCGCGUCUAGGUGGUUAUAUAAGUCUGAUGUGAAAAUGCGGGGCUCAACUCCGUAUUGCGUUGGAAACUGUAUGACUAGAGUACUGGAGAGGUAAGCGGAACUACAAGUGUAGAGGUGAAAUUCGUAGAUAUUUGUAGGAAUGCCGAUGGGGAAGCCAGCUUACUGGACAGAUACUGACGCUAAAGCGCGAAAGCGUGGGUAGCAAACAGG